RNAcentral lists this ribosomal RNA (253 nucleotides) under uncultured bacterium. RNAcentral describes it as "partial 16S ribosomal RNA". It matches the Rfam family "Bacterial small subunit ribosomal RNA", at positions 524 to 776 of the family's 1533-position model. The record is from RNAcentral.
UACGUAGGGUGCAAGCGUUGUCCGGAAUUAUUGGGCGUAAAGAGCUCGUAGGCGGUUUGUUGCGUCGGCUGUGAAAUCCCGAGGCUCAACCUCGGGUCUGCAGUCGAUACGAGCAAACUAGAGUGUUGCAGGGGAGACUGGAAUUCCUGGUGUAGCGGUGAAAUGCGCAGAUAUCUGGAGGAACACCGGUGGCGAAGGCGGCGUUCUGGACUGUUUCUGACACUGAAUAACGAAAGCCAGGGGAGCAAACGGG